AUUCCCAAUGGUGAUAAAUAUUCUAAAAGAAAACAGUUUAUUAAUGGAACAAUCAUCUAUGUUAAAUGAAUGCAUGAAGAGCUUAACCAGACAACAUGUGAUAUAAGCCACAGAUCCUUUGUAUAGGUUUUUUUUAAUUUACUUGUUUAUUUUAUUGAUUUGAGAGAGAGAGAGAGAGAGAGAGAGAGAGAGAGAGAGAGAGAGAGAGAGAGAGAGAGAGAGAGAGAGAGAGAGAGAGAGAGAGAGAGCACACAAAGCUUAUAAAAUAUCUUUCUACAAAGAAUAAAGGUCUGGGAUUUUUUUGUCUAAGAAGAAAACCCAGACUUGUCCGGACUUCCUCCUUUCCAAGAUUCAUGGUAGCUCACAAGAUAAAUAAAAAACACAUAUCAAAAGUGAUAGCCACACAACUAUGUGAACUGCCAAACAUCUGUAUUCCCAGUAGAUGUGGAGGGAAUGGCCAAGUCACAAAGCAGAAAGGAAUAUUUUUUUCUCGGGCUGAAAAUGGAACAGCUGCUGAGGAAAUCCCUCCCCUUCCUGGCAGCGAUAUGUCCAUAUUUACGGAAUUGUGUUGGGGGUGUCACAUUACUACUUUAAAGCAGCGUCUGUGCAAUGGCUAGAUAAGGUUUUUUUUUCAGUUGUCCUGCUGCAGUAGCCUUGAAGCAUUAAUGGAUAAAUAAGAAUGGCCUUUUUGUUCUCUUUUUAUUUUGCUGAGGAGUGGUGUCAGUGGUGUAAAACCUUUGGUUUAGAAGCAAAGGUUACUUUGAGACCUACAUCAUGAGAAGCCAUCGUUUGUUGAAACCCACGUUGGUGUGGUUUGUGAACCUGCAUUGGCUAUAACAAGCCAUAUUUUAUUAACAAACUACAAACCGUAUUUAGGAUGAAUGUUUUUAUGUUGGUUUCUCAACUUUGCCUUGCUUUAACUAUGGCCCUAGUAUCUUCAUUCACCACCUUGGCUUGUCCCUAUCUUGUUUCCUCAGCUGCCUAUCCUGAUGCAGGAACUGACAAAAAAAAGAGAGAGUUGGAGUAAAACAAACCAGAAAGGAGGGGUGGCAAGCCCUGGUUUGUUUGGUUGUCUGCAAUGCAAUUUUCAUCUUAACUAAUUCAUGGUUAUCAAAAAGUUUGUUUGUCAUGACUUACAGAUGUGCUCUGAAGAUUAUGGUGGCUGAUUACAGCUUUUGUGACAUCACAAGGACCUGCACUUUGAUCCCUAAUUUUGUCCCUGAAAUUCCAGGGAAUGGGAAUGCAGCUUACACAGCAACCCUGGACUCUGAGAGUUGUUGUGAGGAAUAUAGAGGAGGAAACACGUUGCUGCUACUUGAAGCCCCUUAGAGAUACAAUGGGACAAAUAUGCAAUAUAAAAAUCAUAAUAGAUUGUUGUUUCUUACUCAUGGCUUUUGCUCAAGAAUACAAAGUGCAGUGCUGAACUUGAUAAGUUAACAAGAGGGGCAAGCAAAAUGUAUAUGUCCAUAGUUCGUUAUAAUAUACUUGAAUUGUAACCCUCUUUAGCUAUUCUCUAAGAAUUCAGUUCAAGCUAAAUCGUUGUUGUGCUGUCGCUUUUAGCAGGGUGUUAACAAGAGGGGCAAGCAAAAUGUAUAUAUCCAUAGUUCAUUAUGAUAUACUUGAAUCGUAACCCUCUUAAUUAACUAUUCUCUAAGAAUGCAGUUCUAGCUAAAUCGUUGUUGUGCUGUCACUUUUAGCAGCGGGACAUUAGUUGAAACUAGGAUGUAGAACGAUGCCAAUGGAUGGGUACUGAAUAAAGAUUACUUAUAGAAACA
RNAcentral lists this long non-coding RNA (1775 nucleotides) under Pogona vitticeps (central bearded dragon). Its description in RNAcentral is "lncRNA (ENSPVIG00000006351.1)". Lineage: Eukaryota; Metazoa; Chordata; Lepidosauria; Squamata; Agamidae. The record is from RNAcentral.